Dipodomys ordii (Ord's kangaroo rat) is the source of this 70-nucleotide non-coding RNA. The record is from Rfam. NCBI's taxonomy places the organism in Eukaryota, Metazoa, Chordata, Mammalia, Rodentia, Heteromyidae.
GGGAAGGUAGCUCAGUGGUAGAGCGCUUGCCUUCCAUGCUCGAGGGCCUGGGUUCGAUUCCUCAACCCCA